AUUGAAUGCUGGCGGCAUGCUUUACACAUGCAAGUCGAACGGCAGCAUGGGUGCUUGCACCUGAUGGCGAGUGGCGAACGGGUGAGUAAUAUAUCGGAACAUGUCCGGAGGUGGGGGAUAACGUAGCGAAAGUUACGCUAAUACCGCAUAUGCCCUGAGGGGGAAAGGAGGGGAUCGUAAGACCUUUCGCUUUCGGAGUGGCCGAUAUCAGAUUAGCUAGUUGGUGAGGUAAAGGCUCACCAAGGCAACGAUCUGUAGCGGGUCUGAGAGGAUGAUCCGCCACACUGGGACUGAGACACGGCCCAGACUCCUACGGGAGGCAGCAGUGGGGAAUUUUGGACAAUGGGCGCAAGCCUGAUCCAGCCAUGCCGCGUGAGUGAAGAAGGCCUUCGGGUUGUAAAGCUCUUUCAGCCGGAAAGAAAUCAUGCUUACUAAUACUAAGUGUGGAUGACGGUACCGGAAGAAGAAGCACCGGCUAACUACGUGCCAGCAGCCGCCGUAA
This 502-nucleotide ribosomal RNA is filed under the name uncultured bacterium. RNAcentral describes it as "partial 16S ribosomal RNA". It matches the Rfam family "Bacterial small subunit ribosomal RNA", at positions 30 to 523 of the family's 1533-position model. The record is from RNAcentral.